RNAcentral lists this ribosomal RNA (480 nucleotides) under uncultured Chloroflexota bacterium. Its description in RNAcentral is "bacterial SSU rRNA". It matches the Rfam family "Bacterial small subunit ribosomal RNA", at positions 370 to 872 of the family's 1533-position model. The record is from RNAcentral. Lineage: Bacteria; Bacillati; Chloroflexota.
AAUGGGCGAAAGCCUGACACAGCGACGCCGCGUGGGGGAUGAAGGCUUUCGGKUGUAAACCCUUUUAUCAGCGAAGAAUAAUGACGUACCUGAGAAUAAGCCUCGGCUAAUACGUGCCAGCAGCCGCGUAAUACGUAGGAGGCGAGCGUUAUCCGGAUUUAUUGGGCGUAAAGCGGGCGUAGGCGGCUUUUCAAGUCGGAUGUGAAAUCUCCCGGCUCAACCGGGAGGDCCAUUCGAUACUNUUGGGCUAGAGGGCAGUCAGAGGGAAGUGAAUUCCCGGUGUAGGUGGUGAUAUGCGUAGAUAUCGGGAGGAACACCAGUGGCGAAGGCGGCUUCCUGGGCUGUUUCUGACGCUGAGGCCCUAAAGCGUGGGGAGCGAACAGGAUUAGAUACCCUGGUAGUCCACGCUGUAAACGAUGGACACUAGGUAUGGGGAGUAUYGACCCUUUCUGUGCCGAASUAACGCUUUAAGUGUCCCGC